UAGGAAAGUCAUAAAUAUAUAAAUUAUAUUAUAUAAUUAAUAUAAUAAUAAAAUAAAUUAUAUAUUUUAUUUAUAAUAUUAUUUCUUUAUAAGAUAAAUAUUAUCUAAUUAAUAAUUAGAUUGAAUAAUAUUUAUAAAGAAAUAUAUAUAUAUAUAAAAAGUCAUUAUAUAAAUUUAAUUAUAAUUUAAAUAAAUUUUAUAUAAAUUAAUAUAAUAUUAAUAAAGUAAUUAGUAUAAAUAAAUAAUAUGAAAAUAAAACUUAAUAAAUAUAUAAAUAUAGUCCAUAUAUAUAUAUUAAUAAAAAGUAAUAUAUAUAUAUAUAUUGGAAUAGUUAUAUUAUUAUACAGAAAUAUGCUUAA
This 359-nucleotide unclassified non-coding RNA is filed under the name Saccharomyces cerevisiae (brewer's yeast). The record is from RNAcentral. Lineage: Eukaryota; Fungi; Ascomycota; Saccharomycetes; Saccharomycetales; Saccharomycetaceae.